UACGUAGGUGGCGAGCGUUGUCCGGAUUUACUGGGCGUAAAGGGAGCGUAGGCGGGCUUUUAAGUGAGAUGUGAAAUACUCGGGCUCAACUUGAGUGCUGCAUUUCAAACUGGAAGUCUAGAGUGCAGGAGAGGAGAAUGGAAUUCCUAGUGUAGCGGUGAAAUGCGUAGAGAUUAGGAAGAACACCGGUGGCGAAAGCGGCUCUCUGGCCUGUAACUGACACUGAGGCUCGAAAGCGUGGGGAGCAAACAGG
Molecule: ribosomal RNA, 253 nt
Filed under: uncultured bacterium
Lineage: Bacteria
Description: partial 16S ribosomal RNA
Rfam family: Bacterial small subunit ribosomal RNA
Source: RNAcentral